Molecule: unclassified non-coding RNA, 370 nt
Filed under: Hevea brasiliensis (rubber tree)
Lineage: Eukaryota; Viridiplantae; Streptophyta; Magnoliopsida; Malpighiales; Euphorbiaceae
Source: RNAcentral
AUUUUUUUUUCCCCAAGUAGGGCAUUGCUGAGUGUCCGACUUGGCUGAAAUGAAAUUCUACUCACCAAAACCAAAAGGCAGUAGUUGCCAGCCACUGCGAAAGUAGAGAAAGCAGGUACGCCUACUCUCUUUCGAAAAAAUGGUGCUGUUAGCAGGCAAAGUUUAGAUGACUACUUAACACACCUCUGUAACCCUAUUUGCCGCCAUAUAUAUGUGAGAAAGGGAACAGUUAAAGGUGCAACACAUUGAGUGAUCAUAGCUUCUCAUCUCUGUUCCCAUAAUGGCAGAGAAUGCAGUAAUUGAACCCUCGAAAAGAACGCACAUCAGGCAACCACCAUCAAUUCCAUUUCUCUGGGAGGAAAGGCCAGGA